CGCAGGCGCAGUCUGCGCAGGGACUGGCGGGACUGCGCGGCGGCGACUACAGACGUGUCGGGGGUCCGGGGCCUGUCGCGGUUGCCAAGCGCUCGGCGCUUGGCGCUGGCGCUGGCCAAGGCGCCUUUACUGUUCCAGGAUACAGAUCUCCUGAUUCAGGUGUCCAGUGCCUUUUGAACUGACCGCAAGCCCUCCUGGACGAUUGGAACUGUAAUGUGGAAAGGGC
This 226-nucleotide long non-coding RNA is filed under the name Homo sapiens (human). Its description in RNAcentral is "PREDICTED lncRNA (TCONS_00189972)". Lineage: Eukaryota; Metazoa; Chordata; Mammalia; Primates; Hominidae. The record is from RNAcentral.